GGUGGGUUGGCUUGUCAGGUUGAUUCCGGUAACGAACGAGACCUCAGCCUGCUAAAUAGUUGCGUCCGGUCCGCCGGGCGUCUAACUUCUUAGAGGGACUAUUAGCGACUAUCAGCUAAUUGAAGUAUGAGGCAAUAACAGGUCUGUGAUGCCCUUAGAUGUUCUGGGCCGCACGCGCGCUACACUGACGCGUCCAACGAGCCUCCUGGUCACGAGAGGACCGGGUAAUCUUGUAAACCGCGUCGUGAUGGGGCUAGAGCUUUGUAAUUAUUGCUCUUUAACGAGGAAUGCCUAGUAAGCGCGAGUCAUCAGCUCGCGUUGAUUACGUCCCUGCCCUUUGUACACACCGCCCGUCGCUCCUUCCGAUUGGGUGUGCUGGUGAAGAGUUCGGAUCGAAUAAGGCUAGCAAUGGCCCGGUUCGAAAAGUUCUU
This 431-nucleotide ribosomal RNA is filed under the name Trentepohlia sp. TreFl 156. RNAcentral describes it as "bacterial SSU rRNA". It matches the Rfam family "Eukaryotic small subunit ribosomal RNA", at positions 1300 to 1759 of the family's 1831-position model. Lineage: Eukaryota; Viridiplantae; Chlorophyta; Ulvophyceae; Trentepohliales; Trentepohliaceae. The record is from RNAcentral.